RNAcentral lists this transfer RNA (73 nucleotides) under Paramuricea clavata. It matches the Rfam family "tRNA". Rfam says of the family: Transfer RNA (tRNA) molecules are approximately 80 nucleotides in length. Their secondary structure includes four short double-helical elements and three loops (D, anti-codon, and T loops). Lineage: Eukaryota; Metazoa; Cnidaria; Anthozoa; Malacalcyonacea; Plexauridae. The record is from Rfam by way of RNAcentral.
GACCGCGUAGCUCAGUUGGCUGAGCAUUGGGCUAGUAUUCCAAAGGUCGUAGGUUCGAUUCCCACCGUGGCCA